This 532-nucleotide ribosomal RNA is filed under the name uncultured Bacillota bacterium. RNAcentral's name for it is "bacterial SSU rRNA". It matches the Rfam family "Bacterial small subunit ribosomal RNA", at positions 373 to 896 of the family's 1533-position model. The record is from RNAcentral. Lineage: Bacteria; Bacillati; Bacillota.
GGGCGAAAGUCUGAUGGAGCAACGCCGCGUGAGCGAUGAAGGCCUUCGGGUCGUAAAGCUCUGUUGUUAGGGAAGAACAAGUACCGGAGUAACUGCCGGUACCUUGACGGUACCUAACCAGAAAGCCACGGCUAACUACGUGCCAGCAGCCGCGGUAAUACGUAGGUGGCAAGCGUUGUCCGGAAUUAUUGGGCGUAAAGCGCGCGCAGGCGGUCCUUUAAGUCUGAUGUGAAAGCCCACGGCUCAACCGUGGAGGGUCAUUGGAAACUGGGGGACUUGAGUGCAGAAGAGGAAAGCGGAAUUCCACGUGUAGCGGUGAAAUGCGUAGAGAUGUGGAGGAACACCAGUGGCGAAGGCGGCUUUCUGGUCUGUAACUGACGCUGAGGCGCGAAAGCGUGGGGAGCAAACAGGAUUAGAUACCCUGGUAGUCCACGCCGUAAACGAUGAGUGCUAAGUGUUAGAGGGUUUCCGCCCUUUAGUGCUGCAGCUAACGCAUUAAGCACUCCGCCUGGGGAGUACGGCCGCAAGGCUG